Long non-coding RNA from Dreissena polymorpha, 6417 nucleotides. RefSeq lists it as uncharacterized. The transcript has 2 exons. NCBI's taxonomy places the organism in Eukaryota, Metazoa, Mollusca, Bivalvia, Myida, Dreissenidae. The record is from RefSeq and is a predicted model, not a curated record.
UGAUUUAAAUUAAAAGUUUUAAUAGUCCCCAGGCAUUUCCCCAAAAUUUUGGUCAAGCACAGCGGCAAGACAUGGCGGAAUGGGUGUUGAUUCAAAAGGGUGCCCAUUAAGCUUUCUUUUUUUUCUCUACAUUUUUUUAAUCACAAAACACAAUACUUAGGAGCUAUUUAACCACUUUUUUCUACAUGUUCCUAGAUAAAAUACACACUAAUUUGGAGGUAUGAAAGCAUUAAAAUUUAUUUUAUUGUUUAUUCACGUGCGAUUUCAUUUUGCGUUGAUUUCACUACAUACUUAUAAAAAGUUUAGUUAAGUAAAGAUCUUCUUACCUCCUUUAACUUCUGUUACCCAUGGACAACAUUGGACAAUAUUGCUGCCACUGACUCGCUGUUUGAGACUUUUGGUUCGUGGGUUGGAGGUCUCAGGAUCACUAAAACGUCCUUGACACUUUUACUUAUUUUACUCUCUGACAGCGACGAUAAUUAGUAGUACUGACAAAGAAAUGUGCAAUUCCAGAUUUCCCAGACACAGGGACUCGUCGUAUAUUCGAUCGUUUCAUUAUUUUGUGCAUCAAAACUAAAAAAACUUUGUUGCAGAUAUUUAGCGUUUUCCGACAAUAUUGAAUAAGCUAUUUGAUGUGAAUGCGUGUAAUGUUGGUGCUGUUAAUUAAGUCGCGUUUGAGAAAAUAGUGUGAACAUUGUAAGUUUGCGGGAGAAAUCAAAUGAGACGUUUGACUUCAAUUAAUUGUAAAUAUAACUUAAAUUACGCUGAAACGUAUACCGAGUUUUACUAAAAUAAUAUGAUUAACGUGACAUGAAUCUUCUUAAUCACGCUUUGUUUUGUUAUACUGCAAGUAAUAAUAAAACACAUGUUAUGUUCUGUUAUUCAAGAACGCACAACUGCAACAAACAACGUUGACUGUUUAUUUUGUGAAUAGUCGUGUGCAAUUUAAAUGGAACAGCAACAAAAUCAUGCAUACCUUUAAUUGUUCUUACGGCACGUGUACCGAUAAUAAUCGAUCAUUAUAGACCAUUAUUAGGGGAUACACACCAUAAUUGACCCCUAUAAACAACCCAUAAAUCGUGCUCGCGUCUUAUCAAAUCUAUUAUUAUGAACAUAAAACUUAUAAGAAUUGGUCGAUGCCAGAAUGCAGACAACAUUCAGAUCAGAGCUUGAAAUGGCUUGUAAACUUUUCAAUCAUCGCGACGUCAUUAUCUGAAAAUCAAGCGCCGCAGCGUAAUGGAUUUUGAAGUCCAGGCACCGCGGGCCCGCUGUGCUUAAACAGUCUGGGUAAAUGCCUGGUCCCCUACAGGUGUAACCUGCGGUGACAUUUUUACUCCCGGUCGAUAGUUUUAAGCUCACCUGAGCACAAUGUGCGCAUGGUGAGCUUUUGUGAUCGCCUUUUGUCCGUCGUGCGUCGUUCGCCUUCAACAUUUGCCUUGUGAACACUCUAGAGGCCACAUUUAUUGACCGAUCUUCAUGAAACUUGGUCAGAACAUUUGUCCCAUUGAAACCUCGACUGAGUUCGAACAUGAAACUUGGUCAGAACAUUUGUCCCAUUGAAACCUCGACUGAGUUCGAAACUGGGUCAUGCUGGGUCAAAAACUAGGUCGCUAGGUAAAAAAAAAACAAAAAAACUUGUGAACACUUUAGAAGUCACAUUUGAUGCUAAAUCUUCAUGUAACAUUAUCAAAAUGUUUGUCUAAAUGAUAUGUUGGUUGAGUUAAAAAAUGGUUCCGGUCCGUUGAAAAACAUGGCCGCCAGGGAGCGGGGCAGAAUUCCUAAUAUGGCUAUAGAGAAACCUUGUGAACACUCUAGAAGUCACAAUUUUUGCCCAAUUAUCAUGAAACUUGGUCAAAACAUUGGUUUCAUUGAUAUCUCGGACGAGUUCGAAAAUGGUCCAGAUCGGAAAAAAACAUGGCUGCCAGGGGGCGGGGAAGUUUUCCUUAUAUGGCUAUAGUAAAACCUUGUUAACACUCUAGAGGCCACAUUUAUUGCCUAAUCUUCAUGAAAUUUUGUCAGAAGAUUGGUCUCAAUGAUAUCUUGGAUUAGUUCGAAAAUGGUUACGUUUGCUUGAAAACAUGGCUGCCAAGGGGCGGGGCAUUUUUCCUUAUAUGGCUAUAUAUGGCUACAGUAAAACCUUGUGAACACCCUGGAGACCACAUUUAUUGUCCAAUCUUCAUGAAAUUUGGUCUGAAAAUGUGUCUCAAUGAUAUCUUGGAUGGGUUCGAAAAUGGUUACGUUUGCUUGAAAAACAUGGCAGGGCAUUUUUCCUUAUAUGGCUAUAGUAAAUUCUUGUUGACACUCUAGAGGCCACAUUUAUUGUCUGAUCUAAAUGAAACUUGGUCAGAAGAUUUAUCCCAAUAAUAUCGUGGACGAGUUCAAAAAUGGUGCUGGUUGGUUGAAAAACAUGGCCGCCAGGGGGCGGGGCAUUUUUCCUUAUAUGGCUAUUGUAAAACCUUGUUAACUCUCUAGAGGCCACAAUUAUUUUCCGAUCUUCAUGAAACUUGGUCAGAAGAUUUGUCCUAAUGCUAUCUUGGAUGAGUUCGAAAAUGAUUUCGGUUGCUAAAAAAACAUAGCCACCAGGGGGCAGGGCAUUUUUCCUUAUGUGGCUAUAUAUCAUGCUUUAGUUAAACCUUGUUAACACUCUAGAGGCCACAUUUAUUGUCAGAUCAUCAUGAAACUUGGUCAGAAGAUUAGUCCCAAUGAUAUCUUGGAUGAGUUCGAAAAUGGUUCCGGUUGGUGGAAAAACAUGGCCACCUUGUUAACACUCUAGUUAUUCUUACAAUAGUGAUUCUUUAAAAUACAAUUUUUAAUAACUUUAAAAUUCAUUAAUGAUAGUUAAUAACUCAUAAAUUCAUUAAUGAAAGAUCAGGUAUAUUUUCAUUGUAUGAUAAUUCUUAAGAAAUAAAAUAAAUGCUUAAAACUCUCUGUCAGUGUCGAUACAGAUAGUUUACAUCAGUGGUCAGUGCUUAUCUUUACCUGGAUACUAAGAAUAGCAGUGCUCUCAUUUGAUUGGAUGUUUACCUUGCCAGCUACACCUCAGAAUCAGGGCACUAGCACAUUGUUGGCCUUUUCCAUUGAAUUAGUGAUUUACUGUGUUUCACUAACUGGGAAUGUUAAGUUAGUGGAGUUAGUUUAGUUCUUUUAACUAAGUGCGAUUAUUAAAUAAAAAGUAAGGCAAAGUGACUUAGUUUUUGUUUCUCGAAGUGAAAAUAUUAAGAUAGUGAUUUAAUAAAGUACAGGACCUAGUGAAUUUAUUCAACAACAAGUGAGUGUUUUUAAUAAGUGAUAGUGAACAGAGUGAAUUUAUUAAAUGACAUAUCUCAGCUAGUCUUUUAAUUAAAGUGACUUAGUGUGUUGUGAUUAACACAAGUUAUAAUUGAUUAAUCAAAGCCGAAGAAAUGGAUUUAAACUGUUUGUUUUCUUUAAGUGUCUUACAUUAGACUUACGUGAAUAAUACAAUGAAAGCGAGUUCUUAAUUAUUUGUUUAGUGAAAGUGAAGUUUGUGAGCGAAUUCAAUUAAGUGAAAACGGGUGUGUGUUUAUCCUAGUGCUUUAUUCAGGCAUUUGCCUCAUACUGAACACAAACUGUUGACCAAGUUUAGACAUGAAAGUGUUUAAUUGUUUUCAAAACCUUGUUUUAACUGUGAUAAACUUUUGAAAGUUUAUGAACUGUAUUUCUAUAUGAGUUUUUUUUAUUGUUUGCAUUAUUGCUUAAGUAUAAAUGAUGAAUGUUUGGAAAGAAUAAAAAUAGUUUAGUCACAUUGUUGUUGAUUUUUCUUGUGCCUCAAGCUAGGCUCAGAUGAGCCCAAGUAGCUUUCCCCGUCACAGUAUGUGAUAAAUAAAUAAUAAUUAAAAUUAUUGACUUCAUUUUAAUUUGAUAGCCGGUAUGACGGGUGAAACGCUUCAGUAUAUAGUGAAAGCAUGUGAAAGUCUAGAAGACACAUUUUUUCCCAAUCUUCAUGAAAUUUGGACAUAUCUUGGAAGAGUUCAAAAAUGGUUCAGGUCUGUUAAAAAAAACAUGGCCACCAGGGGGCCAUUUGUUGUUUAUUCUUCAUGAAACUUGGUUAGAACAUUUGUUCCAUUGAUAUCUUGGGCUGCAAAGAACAGGUCAUUUCUUUUUAUCCGAGGUGAGCGACUUUGGGACUUUCAGGCCCUCUUGUUUUUCUGUUUGACCACCCGCAUCUGAAAUUAUGAAUUUCUGAAUCCUGCUACUCGAAAAGUACUUUAUCAAGGUUGAAUAAACAUAGUACAUGUAUAUGGUUAGAGGGUUAUAUGGUGAACAUGCAUGUCAGAGCUCCAGAUUUAGGAUUGAGUCUAAAGGGUAUUUUACCCCCUGAUAUUAUUGUUAAAGGGUAUUUUAAUCCUUUGUUUCAGCAAUAAAGGGUAUUUAGGAAUAGUGAGGGGUAGAUUCUAUUUCCAUAGACAACUGACAUAGUUCAAGGCGUGUUUAAUUUAAAAAUAUUAUUAUUUGUUAUUAACAAAUGCAAACAGAAUAAAUGUUAAAUGAUGAUAUGAACAGACUUUCUUUAAAAUGUUCAACUAACACAUGUUGUAUCUAAGUAUUGAUUGUGUCUUUAUUGCAUAUAGUAUUCAUGUAGUGUAUGAACAUCAUUUUACAAUUAAACUAAGCUAUGGCACUGCAUUGUUUGUCACACAAUUUGUCACCACCAUGAUAUUUGGUUUUCUUUUCUGACUUCAAUCGCUGUGACAAUGAGAUCGCUUGAAAUUAUUUUAACAAUACUAGAAGCAUCAUAAGAUUGAUCUCUAUUGACAUAUUGGAAUAUACAGUUACUUCCUGCAGGAGCCACUGUUCGUUUGAAAUGUCCCUUUUUCUAACCUAGAAUACGAUGGGCCGCCAUUUUGAUUAUAAGGUUCUUUUGAUUUGACUUACUUUUGGUUCAAAGCUUAACUUACAUAAAACACUCAACUGGAUUAUUGGUAAAACCGGUUACGCACUUUAUUCCAUUAAAAAUACAUACCAAGAUUUCUAUUGCGUAAUGUUACGUACUGGGCUGAUUUAAAAAGCAUUUUUAUGUCCCCCACUAUAGUAGUGGGGGACAUAUUGUUUUUGCCCUGUCUGUUGGUCCGUUGGUCUGUUGGUCUGUUUGCGCCAAUUUUAACAUUUUGCAAUAACUUUUGCUAUAUUGAAGAUAGCAACUUCAUAUUUGGCAUGCAUGUGUAUCUCAUGAAGCUGCACAUUUUGAGUGGUGAAAGGUCAAGGUCAUCCUUCAAGGUCAGAGGUCAAAUAUAUGUGGCCCAAAUCGCUUAUUUUAUGAAUACUUUUGCAAUAUUGAAGAUAGCAACUUGAUAUUUGGCAUGCAUGUGUAUCUCAUGGAGCUGCACAUUUUGAGUGGUGAAAGGUCAAGGUCAUCCUUCACAUGGUCAAGGUCAUCCUUCAAGGUCAAACAUCAUAUAGGGGGACAUUGUGUUUCACAAACACAUCUUGUUUUUUUUCAAUGCAUAAAUAAUCAGAUAUGCAUCUUAUCUGCAGCUCUGAUGCAUGUUAUUUCCUCUUUUUUUGGUCAGACACAAAUUGCGAUUGCUAUUGUUAUGAAAAUAAUAACAAACCGAAAAUCUGCAUCUUGCAAGAGGUAAAAUAGUACUUGCUAGGUAGAUGAAACUUGGUAUGUGGAUGUGGAUAUAGGGAUUUAUGGUGUUCAGGAUACAUUUUUUAGAUUUUUUUUUUCCUUAGACAAAAAUUGUUGUCAUCAGUGUUUCAGAUGCUAUGUUUACGCAUAUUUUAAACCUAAAAUCUGGAUCUACUGAUAACUCAAAUACCUUGCUAGGUUGUUGUAACUUGUAUGAAUGUCAAUAGAGGACCAUAUGUGGAGUGUGUACUUUAUUUUAUUGGUAAGUCCACCUGUGUGUCUGGGAAACAUGGAUCAUAUGAAAACUCAACAAGUAUGUAGGCUAAGGAGAUGACACUCAGUAUGUGGAUAGAGGGAUGAAUGGGGAAUAAGCACAUUUAUAUCAGUCUUUUACAUCAGGCAAAAAAUGUGGUUACUUUCAUUUAAGUAAUAAGAAAAAACCAAAAUCUGCAUCCUUCGAUGACUCAAAAUGUACUUCUGCUAGGUUGAUAAACAUUGGUAUGUGAAAACAGGGUCCUGUGCUGAAUAUGCAAGUUAUUUCAGUUUUUUUCAGACCAAUAUGGUUGCUAUGGUUGCAGAUAUAAUUUAAAACUGAAAUCUGCAUUGAUCUUUAACUAAAAAGGACUUGAGCUAGGUUUAUAAAACAAAGACAAUAUUAACUGGAAAGGAAUACUGUUAUGUCUGUGACAAAGCUCUUGUUUACCUAUGUUCUCUGUUCAACAUGCCCUUGAAAAGUUUUGACAUGACAUUAUUUUUUUUUAUCUCUGCCUAGACUAAUAGAACAUUAUUAUUAUAAAUGCUUCACUCCAAGUUGUUGUGUGUUUUAG